RNAcentral lists this ribosomal RNA (397 nucleotides) under uncultured bacterium. RNAcentral's name for it is "partial 16S ribosomal RNA". It matches the Rfam family "Bacterial small subunit ribosomal RNA", at positions 523 to 918 of the family's 1533-position model. The record is from RNAcentral.
AUACGUAGGGGGCGAGCGUUGUCCGGAAUGAUUGGGCGUAAAGGGCGCGUAGGCGGCCCGGUAAGUCUGGAGUGAAAGUCCUGUUUUUAAGAUGGGAAUUGCUUUGGAUACUGUCGGGCUUGAGUGCAGGAGAGGUAAGUGGAAUUCCCAGUGUAGCGGUGAAAUGCGUAGAGAUUGGGAGGAACACCAGUGGCGAAGGCGACUUACUGGACUGUAACUGACGCUGAGGCGCGAAAGUGUGGGGAGCAAACAGGAUUAGAUACCCUGGUAGUCCACACUGUAAACGAUGAAUGCUAGGUGUAGGGGGUAUCGACCCCUUCUGUGCCGCAGUCAACACAAUAAGCAUUCCGCCUGGGGGGUACGGCCGCAAGGUUGAAACUCAAAGGAAUUGACGGGG